AGCCAUCAUAUUUGACUUCUUCUCUCACAGGUGGACCACACUUUUUUCCUAACAGUCAAAAAAUCAAUUCUCAAAAUCACUCCCAAACAGACUCUACAUGUCAACCAAUUCACUUUGUCUUGGUUAAGGAUUGGAACAGCAUUAUGUGGGAGGAAAACUCAAGCCCCCAAGCUUUUGAUCUAUUGUUCGAAAAUAAGAGCAUCUCCAUUCGUGGUAUACAAGAUUCAAAUUUUCAAAGUGAUCGAAAACCCCACUAAUGGAGAAAUGCAAACUGCAUUUUUCGAAAGAAAAUGUCAAAAAAGAAGCAUUCACAAGAGAUAAAAGUGAAUUUUUUGGAUCUUGAUAGGUCCAGUCAAAACAAAGACACAAACAAAUAAAUUUAAAUAAAUAAUACUUCCUUUUGGGUAGGAAGGAAACCACAAACAAACCAAAUAAUAAUUUAAUUCACACUCCAAUAGCUAACACACAACAAAUAUAUAUAUAGACUCCUAAUAACUAAUUGUAGCUUAGUGGCUACUAACCACCCACUUAGUGGCUGGGUACUAACCACUCAACACUUUUGGAGCAUGUUCCCAUGUUGACACAAUGAGGUGUCUUUGCUGGUCAUUAUG
This 611-nucleotide long non-coding RNA is filed under the name Olea europaea subsp. europaea. The record is from RNAcentral. Lineage: Eukaryota; Viridiplantae; Streptophyta; Magnoliopsida; Lamiales; Oleaceae.